This is a long non-coding RNA of Choloepus didactylus (southern two-toed sloth), 849 nucleotides long. RefSeq lists it as uncharacterized. The record is from RefSeq and is a predicted model, not a curated record. NCBI's taxonomy places the organism in Eukaryota, Metazoa, Chordata, Mammalia, Pilosa, Megalonychidae. The transcript is spliced from 3 exons.
AGAAACCCUGACUGGCUCUAUUUGACCUCAACUGCUGGUGAAAUGUCUUCCUACCCAGAGGGGACAACCAGGUAGAGAAUUCCCAGAGAUGGACCCAGAAUGUUUGUGCCACAACCCAAUGCUGAGGGAUGCAGAUGGAUGGAGGACUGGGAGAUCCAGGCCACUCAGCAUUGGGAGAGCAGAUGGACCAGAACCGAUGUAGCAGAAGAUCAUUAGGAUGGGAAGUCCAUGCAGGGUCAAGGCCUGGUCCUCCUUACUGCUCCAAUCAGCUGGUGUUCAGGAACGGCCAACCAUUUACAGGAAGCUGGGGAUGCAGCAACCAGAAAAGAUAAGCUGUUACUUCCAGCAAGUGGCUCUCCCUCUCCAGGCCUCGGCCUUCCGUUCUAUAAAAUGGACAUAGUAUCGCCUGCUUCACAGGGCGGCCAGACGUCCUGGGUGAGAUGACGUAGGUGCAGCUCUCCCGGCUCUCAGCCCAGCACUUGCUCACCGCAUCCUGCUGACUCUCCCCGCAUCCUGGGUGCCAUCCCAACGCCUCCAAGUGACUCCUGCCACACUUCUGAGAUGUCCAAGAAUCCCACCCCUAGAUGAUAGAUAAUUCAGGCAGGUCUGGCCUAUUUGGGGUGUCUCCCCCCGACAACUGCAGCUUGGGGCUGGACGGACUUCCUGCAGGAUCUCCGCAGCCAUCUUGUCUCCGGCCUGGACCACGAGGCCCUCCAUCACGUGCCCCAGCUCCCCACCAAUCUCCCAGGACCCUUACGGCACACUCUCCACUCUGCCUGCAAACCUCUCCAGCGGCCUCCAAAAAAACUGCUCUCCAUCUUGCCCCUUGCAUUCGAACCUAUUUUUCUU